Molecule: microRNA precursor, 192 nt
Filed under: Oryza rufipogon (brownbeard rice)
Lineage: Eukaryota; Viridiplantae; Streptophyta; Magnoliopsida; Poales; Poaceae
Description: MIR812 microRNA precursor family
Rfam family: MIR812 microRNA precursor family
Source: Rfam by way of RNAcentral
AAUAAAUGCAGCCAUGAUUUUCCGCGUCCAACUUUGAUAGUCCGUCUUAUUUAAAAUUUUUUUAUAAUUAAUAUUUUUAUUGUUAUAAGAUGAUAAAACAUGAAUAGUACUUUACUCGUGACUUAUGUUUUUAAUUUUUUUAAUUUUUUUUAAAUAAGACAAAUGGUUAAAGUUGGACGUGGAAAACCAUGG